GAUGGCUUCUAGGGACGGCUGGUUUUUCAAAACCGUCCCUAGAGAAGGUCAGUGACUCAGUUGACGGACACAUUCCGACCGUUGCUACCUUUAUCUGUGGCCACCCCGAAUUUUAUUUUACGUUCAGUAACACUAUAUCCAUCUGUUUCCAUGAGAAAACGAAAAGAAAUUAAUUCAUCUUCUUCUCGUCGAUUCACAUUACAAGAGCACCUCUCUCCAUCGAUUUUGGGUUUGAAUUCAGGUGCAUAUUGCUGGUGUUGGCGAUUUUCCUUUAGCGAGCGUUACUAGCUUAGCUGAUCCUUUCCCUUUACCAUCUGUUGAUACCGAUGAUCUGAAGAUGCUCUAGCUUGGCAUCUGUUCCAGGCUUGACGAAAUUUUUGAUGAACCUAGUGUUGUUAAGGUGGUUCCAAUUAGCCAGUCUGGACUGGAUCUCUUAAUCCUGGAUUUUCAAUCUGGGGAGUUUCUUGAUGUGAAGGUAAUCUUCCUCCUCGAAAAGAGAUACACCAAGCAAUUGAGGACGCACACCAUAAUAAAAUACUUAUGGAGAUCAGUUUGUGCAGAGUUUGGAAGAGUGGAGAAAUGGCUCUCAACAAGAUACCAUUGUUAUGAAGGUUUCUAUCGUGGGAACGUUAUAAAUAUCUCCAUUUUAGUUGACUUUGCACCUAUAGGUUGUACGAAAUGAGGACCUUUAUCAGCAGAUUGGAAGAGACGUUUACUUUGAUCUUGUUGAUCCCGAAAAAGUGCGUAGUUUUUCAGUAGUUUAUAUGAUGGGGACAGUGAGAAAUCUCCAUGCAUCCGCAUUUGGUUUGUAGAGAAUUGGGGGUUUCUUGUGAUCAUCCUAAGACGAUGGACAUUUGUAAAACUUUGGUCAUUAGAAAAAAUCUCCACAAAUCAAUAUGGAAAUUCCAGAAGAAGAAGAUGCAGGUGGAUUGGGUUCUUUUGACCAAGUGGAAGAUGAACCAGUUGAUGAUUCUUCAGAUAGUGGAAUUAUUGAAGCAAUCUCAAGCAGUGCUGAGUCUGAGUCAUAUGAUCUGGAUGGUUUUAAUCCAAUUUUGAAUUCAAGGGCAUCUCAGGAUUUUAAUGGAUCAUAAAAUCAUGUGUUGGAAUAUUAGGGGACUGGGACAUGAUACCAAAUUAAAUGCUAUAAGAAAUGCUAUCCGCAAAAACAACAUCACUAUUUGCUCUAUUCAAGAAUCAAAGAAGGAGCUGGUUGAUGAUGCUCUCAUUAGAUCUCUUUGGGGUAGUAACAGAUGUAAGUAUAUUCAUGUUCCUUCUUGUGGUGCUUCCGGAGGGAUUAUUGUUAUGUGGAAGGAUGGAGUUGUGGAGAUGGAGGAUAAUUUCAGCCUAUGCGCUUUCAAAGUUUUGCAUGUCGUCAUCUUCUAUUCUCAUUUCAGAUUGGUACCAAAGACUUCUGCAUGUCAUCUUCUAUUCUCAUUUCAGCCUAUGCGCUUUCAAAGUUUUUAGGCAACGUCUUAUCGGAGUAAAGCUUUCAAAGUUUUCUUAUCGGAGUAAAGCUUCCUCAAACAAUUAUACACAACAACAGUUCCUCACAACAUCAUUACAACCUCCACCACCGCCAUCAUCAACAACUUCUAGAGGCAUUUCGACUGUCUCCAAUCUCCUUUUCAUCUGUUAUUUCUGUUGAUUUUUAGUUUUCAGAUCUACAUUAGCAAGUUCUUUUUUUAGAUUUCUUCAAGAUUUGUUUUCUAGUUACGAUUCCCAUUCGGAGUCAUUUUCUGAAUCUGAUUUGGGUGAUGCUGCUAAUGUCAAUUCAUGAUCUCGAUCCUUGAGAUGUUGAUAUCUGUUCAGUGUUUGGAUUAGAAGAAAUAUUCAAGAUCUCCUGCUACACUAACAAGUCUCAGAUUACUUAUCUUCAUACCGGUUUGCUUCUGUUUUGGGAGUUUUUGAAGAUAUUUGUUGGAUGGAGAUUUGUGAUUGAGUGAUUCUUCUUCAAUUCGGUAUGUAAGAAGUGUGAUUCAUUAAGUGUUGAAAGUUAAAUGGAUUCUUCAUCCAAGAUAGUGAUUGUUGAAAUCAAUUUGCAGAUCAGUUUUGUAUUGUAUUGCAGUUUAGAGAACAUCUGUGAUUUUUCAUCACAUUGGUGAAAACUCCGUAUUACAUCCAUUGUUUUCUUCCAUGAGAAGUAUUUGUUGAGAUACAUGUAAUGAUUUGUAGUGAUGCUGUAUCGACCUUUGUGUGAGUUCCUGGCUUUCAUAGUUGAGCUGCAAGCUUGGAAUUCUAAUCUGCAGUCAGAGCACUGAAUUAGAAUGAGAGCCACGGAACUCGCUCGAUUCGCAGAUUGGUCUGACUCGUAAUUCACUUCUGACUCCAGAUAACAAACUUUGCACUAUACUAGUGCUCAGUUUGAGGGGGAAUAUCUCCAGGAUUCACAAAUUGGUUUGAAUGUCUAUUGGUUUGUCUUAGCAGCAUAAGCAUCAGAUUGGUUAUGUCAUCUUGCCUACUGGUAUUGUUCUUCCAAGUCUGGUUAUGGAUUGUGAAAUUCUAAAUGGUUUGGUACCAGUAGUGGCAGAGAUAUGGUUCAUUUGAUUGCUCUACAGGGGAACUUUACAGGUGCAACUAUAGAUUCAAUUGAACGGCAUUAUGACAUCAACUGUUGUUGAUAUUGUUCAGAGGGGUCAACUGUCACAGUUGACACAGUAGGAGAUGGAUCAACUUCAAGGGUUGACACAGUUCUGGUUUGUAUGGUUUGGCUUUCUUCUGCAUCAACAUCUUAGCAUAUGCUUCAACUAUCUCUCAAACCAAGUUAUGCAGUAUAUCAUCUACAACAAUAGUUGGUGGUGCUUCUCAACAGCAUACAGGUAUCAACUUCCUACAAAGCUACUUCUACUUCUAACUCUCCAGUUGCAGAUAUUUCAGGUCACAAUGCUUGAUUAGCAAACUAAUGCAUCGGAGUUAUACUACGAAUGCAUCAGUUUGAGGGGGAAUGUUAGAACAGCCUAUGAUGUUGUGACAUGUAAACCUGUAUGAUCUGUAAUGCACCAAUGGAGUGCCUCCAUCUGUAAUAAGUGAGCUAGAUUGAUAUAUAAAGCUAAUGACGAGAACCAGCAGGAACAAUCCAUAAGAAACCAAUCCAUCACAGUUACUUUAAUAACUAAGAACCAGCAGUGGGAGAAAUUUUCAUAACUAAGAAGAACCAGCACAGUCAGUAUCAUCACUAUCAGCUGACUGUGAAUCUGUAGAAGAGUCAAGCCUUUCGGUAUUAGCACUCUUUUGUAGAAGAGCUGUCGGACCUUCUUUUGUAAUCUUUAUAACGAGCAGCAACUUCAUAGCUCAGAGUGUGCUUUAUAUU
This is a long non-coding RNA of Papaver somniferum (opium poppy), 3307 nucleotides long. RefSeq lists it as uncharacterized. NCBI's taxonomy places the organism in Eukaryota, Viridiplantae, Streptophyta, Magnoliopsida, Ranunculales, Papaveraceae. The transcript is spliced from 6 exons. The record is from RefSeq and is a predicted model, not a curated record.